This 288-nucleotide ribosomal RNA is filed under the name uncultured archaeon. RNAcentral's name for it is "partial 16S ribosomal RNA". It matches the Rfam family "Archaeal small subunit ribosomal RNA", at positions 339 to 631 of the family's 1478-position model. The record is from RNAcentral.
GCGCGAAAACUUUACAAUGCGGGCAACCGUGAUAAGGAAACCCCGAGUGCCAGCACAGGCUGGCUGUCCACCAGUGUAAAAAACUGGUGAAGAAAGGGCCGGGCAAGACCGGUGCCAGCCGCCGCGGUAAUACCGGCGGCUCGAGUGGUGGCCGCUUUUACUGGGCUUAAAGGGUCCGUAGCUGGAUUCACAAGUCCCUUGAGAAAUCUAUCGGCUUAACUGAUAGGCGUUCAGGGGAUACUGUGGUUCUAGGGACCGGGAGAGGUGAGAGGUACUGCCGGNGUAGGA